UGCCAUCAGCUCUCCAUCACUGUCCUUAUCCUCAAUCAUUCUUCUAUCAACUCCAAAGUUCAUAGCUACAUCGAAUCUCAGCGAGCGUCCUCCUCUAUUGUACCUACUCGUCUCCGAUUCAUUAAUCUGCCCAAAGAUGAGACUGAAUUAUUUAGUUUCUCUUCUUUCGUUAAGAGUCAGAAAUCCCAUGUCAAAGAAGCUGUGUUGAAGAUCACUCAAUCUGAGUCUAGCGUCGACUCGCCUCGACUUGCAGGUCUUGUUCUCGAUAUGCUCUGCACGCCGAUGAUAGAUGUGGCUAAUGAUUUUGGUGUUCCGUCUUACAUAUUCUUUCCAUCAGGAGCAGCUUUUCUUGGUUUCAUGCUUUAUGUGCAGAAGAUUCAUGAUGAAGAGAAAUUUGACCCCAUUGAGUUCAAGAACUCGGAUGCUGAGUUACCAGUACCGAGCUUAGUAAACCCAUUUCCUGCAAGGGUUAUGCCUUAUGCGAUGUUAAGAAGAGAGUUGCUUUCUCCUACAUUAGAGAAUGCAAGAAGGUAUAGAGAAGUUAAGGGUAUCAUCGUAAAUACAUUUUUGGAGUUCGAAUCCUAUGCGAUUCAGUCUUUAAAAAUGCCUCCUGUGUAUCCUGUGGGACCCAUUUUGGAUAUUGGGUCGGUCGGAAGCAACGCACCCCAGGAAAUAAUGCAAUGGCUUGACAACCAACCUCUUUCAUCAGUAGUGUUCUUGUGUUUUGGAAGCAUGGGAAGUUUUAGCGAGGAUCAAGUAAAAGAGAUUGCAUGUGCGCUAGAACACAGUGGGUAUCGAUUCUUGUGGGCCCUCCGCCGACCACCACCUCCGGGAAAACUAGCAUCUCCGAGUGACUAUGAGGAUCCACAAGAGGUUUUGCCUGAAGGAUUCUUGGAUCGAACAGCUGGAAUUGGAAAGGUGAUUGGGUGGGCUCCACAAGUUGCCAUCUUGGCCCAUCAAGCUGUGGGAGGUUUUGUAUCGCAUUGCGGGUGGAAUUCUGUGCUGGAGAGCAUAUGGUUUGGGGUUCCAAUCGCCGCGUGGCCAAUAUAUUCAGAGCAACAACUUAAUGCAUUCGAGAUGGUGUUUGAGUUAGGAUUAGCUGUGGAGAUUAAAAUAGAUUAUAGUAAGGACAGUGAAAUAAUUGUGAAGUGUGAUGAAAUAGAGAGAGGGAUAAGGUGUUUGAUGGAGUACGAUACUGAAAAAAGGAAGAAAGUUAAGGAAAUGAGUGAAAAAAGUAGAAAGGCCUUAAUGGAGGGUGGAUCUUCACACUUUUGGUUAGGUCAUUUCAUAAGAAAUGUUAUGGACAAUUAAGGGUUAGCAUUUGAUUCAAACCGAAUUAAAUUGAAUCGAAUUGAAUUAAAUCAUGAAAAUUGAAUUAUAAAUUUUAAAAAUCGAAUCGAAUCGAAUUAUUUUAUUUCGGUUUGGUUCAGUUCAAAGUGAUUGAUUUUAAUUUUUUAUUAUUU
RNAcentral lists this unclassified non-coding RNA (1463 nucleotides) under Hevea brasiliensis (rubber tree). Lineage: Eukaryota; Viridiplantae; Streptophyta; Magnoliopsida; Malpighiales; Euphorbiaceae. The record is from RNAcentral.